Non-coding RNA from Pelobates cultripes (western spadefoot toad), 579 nucleotides. The record is from the annotation of a GenBank genome assembly. NCBI's taxonomy places the organism in Eukaryota, Metazoa, Chordata, Amphibia, Anura, Pelobatidae.
GCCCAAGUCAAAGAUGGCGCCGACCACGUGGUCGCGUCCAUCUCAAGCUCCGCCCCUCAAAUUUAUGCAAACGUACGUGUCGCGUCACGUCACGACGUCAAUGCACGCAAACGUUCUGGGGUCAGAGGUCACCCUCUAAUCAAUCAGAGCCCAGAGAGGGAUAUUUAAAUCCCUAAUUCACUCCAGUUCCUUGCCCUGUCGUUGUUUCCUGUUCCUGGUUCCUGAGAGUGCGUUUAUCUUUGUGAAUCUGAUUUCCUGGUAUCCUGAUCUUGGCUUUUCCCUGAUUAUUCCGAAUUCUGGUUUCCCCGACUUGGCUUGUUUAAAUGGUAUUUGAGUAUUUCUGGAUUCCUUGACCUCGGCUUUCCCUUUGACCAUUCUCUAUCUCUAGCGUAUUAGUCCGGCCAUUCUAAGGUCUGGUUUAUGCUCUGUCCUUUUAUUUUCCUUUUCUUUUGUAUGUGUAUGUUUACAUAGUUUCUGCGUGUUGGAUCACACUAGCAGCCGUGGCAAUCAUGUUUAGAAGAGGCUCCCUUCUGGGAUGACCGCCAUGCAGACCAAUUUGAUGUAGUGUGCGGCAUAGGG